This 590-nucleotide ribosomal RNA is filed under the name uncultured Glomeromycotina. RNAcentral's name for it is "SSU rRNA". It matches the Rfam family "Eukaryotic small subunit ribosomal RNA", at positions 377 to 971 of the family's 1831-position model. The record is from RNAcentral. Lineage: Eukaryota; Fungi; Glomeromycota.
UCGAUUCCGGAGAGGGAGCCUGAGAAACGGCUACCACAUCCAAGGAAGGCAGCAGGCGCGCAAAUUACCCAAUCCCGACACGGGGAGGUAGUGACAAUAAAUAACAACACAGGGCUCUUUUGGGUCUUGUUAUUGGAAUGAGUACGAUUUAAAUCUCCUAACGAGGAACAAUUGGAGGGCAAGUCUGGUGCCAGCAGCCGCGGUAAUUCCAGCUCCAAUAGCGUAUAUUAAAGUUGUUGCAGUUAAAAAGCUCGUAGUUGAAUUUCAGGCCUGGCUGGACGGUCCGCCCUUCGGGUGAGUACUGUCUGUGGUCGGGUCCUACCUUCUGGCGAAGCGUCAUGGNCUUAACCGGNCGUGGCGGGGAACCAGGACUUUUGCUGUGAAAAAAUUAGAGUGUUCAAAGCAGGCAAUCGCUUGGAUACAUUAGCAUGGAAUAAUGGAAUAGGACAAUGGUUCUAUUUGUUGGUUUCUAGGACCGUUGUAAUGAUUAAUAGGGAUAGUUGGGGGCAUUAGUAUUCAAUUGUCAGAGGUGAAAUUCUUGGAUUUAUUGAAGACUAACUACUGCGAAAGCAUUUGCCAAGGAUGUUUUC